AUUGAACGCUGGCGGCAGGCCUAACACAUGCAAGUCGAGCGAGCGGCGGACGGGUGAGUAAUGUCUGGGAAACUGCCUGAUGGAGGGGGAUAACUACUGGAAACGGUAGCUAAUACCGCAAACCAUCAGAUGUGCCCAGAUGGGGUUAGCUCGUAGGGGGGGUAACGGCUCACCGAGGCGACGAGCCCGAGCUGGUCUGAGAGGAUGACCAGCCACACUGGAACUGAGACACGGUCCAGACUCCUACGGUAGGCAGCAGUGGGGAAUAUUGCACAAUGUGCGCAAGCCUGAUGCAGCCAUGCCGCGUGUGUGAAGAAGGCCUUCGGGUUGUAAAGCACUUUCAGCGGGGAGGCGUUACCCGCAGAAGAAGCACCGGCUAACUCCGUGCCAGCAGCCGCGGUAAUUC
RNAcentral lists this ribosomal RNA (406 nucleotides) under uncultured bacterium. RNAcentral describes it as "partial 16S ribosomal RNA". It matches the Rfam family "Bacterial small subunit ribosomal RNA", at positions 29 to 526 of the family's 1533-position model. The record is from RNAcentral.